AACGAACGCUGGCGGCAUGCCUAACACAUGCAAGUCGAACGAGACCUUCGGGUCUAGUGGCGCAUGGGUGCGUAACGUGUGGGAACUUGCCCUUAGGUUCGGAAUAACUUCCCGAAAGGGGUGCUAAUACCGGAUAAUGUCCUCGGACCAAAGAUUUAUCGCCUUUGGUUGGGCCCGCGUUGGAUUAGCUAGUUGGUAGGGUAAAAGCCUACCAAGGCGACGAUCCAUAGCUGGUCUGAGAGGAUGAUCAGCCACACUGGGACUGAGACACGGCCCAGACUCCUACGGGAGGCAGCAGUGGGGAAUAUUGGACAAUGGGCGAAAGCCUGAUCCAGCAAUGCCGCGUGAGUGAUGAAGGCCUUAGGGUUGUAAAGCUCUUUUACCCGGGAUGAUAAUGACAGUACCGGGAGAAUAAGCUCCGGCUAACUCCGUG
Molecule: ribosomal RNA, 433 nt
Filed under: uncultured bacterium
Lineage: Bacteria
Description: partial 16S ribosomal RNA
Rfam family: Bacterial small subunit ribosomal RNA
Source: RNAcentral